This is a long non-coding RNA of Folsomia candida, 1894 nucleotides long. RefSeq lists it as uncharacterized. The record is from RefSeq and is a predicted model, not a curated record. Lineage: Eukaryota; Metazoa; Arthropoda; Collembola; Entomobryomorpha; Isotomidae. The transcript has 3 exons.
UUCAUAUCAUGCAGCUGAUGUGUGCAUAUCCUCCCUCAACCACUAACUUUUCAUCACGAACCAAUUAAAAAUAAUAAUAAUAAAACGUCGUGGAAUAUUGCAGUUUAAAAGUAUUUUACACAUUAAAUUCCAUUAUUUUAUGGGCAACGCGAAUAAAGUGGGUGGUAUUUUUUUGCGGAAGAUUCCCAACGAAUUUGACUCGAACAUAUUAACAGAGCUGGGAUUAUCGCAGCUUUUGCAAAAAAAUAAUGGGGACACCAGCCCAAAAACGGUCUGCAGAACCAAACGAUGAAGAUAUCGAGGCCGGUAUCCCACUAAAUCCUGUCCCCCCGGAGGAGUCUCCCCCUCAAAAAUCCGACCCUUGCUCACCCACCCCUGCAGAUGAGCCCUUCAACGCCUUCCUCUUCGAAUGGAGGACACGUUUCUUCCUCUACACGGUCUACUUUCUCCUCGUACUUUCCCUCUCGUGGAAUUGUUUCUCCGUGACGGAAGGAUGCCUCACAGCGACUGGAAUUUUGACCCUGAUCAUCCUCCGUACUGUGGUCACGGACAAGUGUGACCCCGUCGAUGUCACGUUAACCCCAAAAUCAUCUGCAACAUGGCGGACCAAAUGUGGACAUUACUGCUCAUGGGUGACCUGCUGGGUCAUGACGCUUAUUGUCCUGGUUUCAUUCGCCUUCGUCAAUCUCGUCCAGAGCAGGAUUAUCGAUAGGGACAGAAUUUUGCAAAAUUGUGCACAAUGAGGCAAUAAUUGGCAAUAACUCUUCCCUGUUGGAGCAACUGAAUGACGCCCCCAGCAGGUGUUUAAUCCCUUGCGACGUGAUCUACUUCUACCCCAUGGCCCUCCUCUUGUUCGACCUAAUAUUUUGCUACACUGGACUUUUUCGCGUCUUAGCGAUCACCUUACACAGCAUUCUUGUCCCUGUUUGGACCCGACUCGUCAUAUUUUUAACUACUCCCCCGGCGUCAACUGUCUUCAAAGUGAUUGCCUUCUUAAUUUGGAUCUCUGCAAGUGUGACCCUGAUCGGAAUCUGUGCCCUCAUUUUGGCCCGAUUUGGAUUCGAGCAAGACAAAGGGCUAUGCAUUGUUAUGGUAGGCUGCAUAAUUUUUUGGGUUGUCGGGUUCCUAGUCCCGCUCCCGGGUUUGAUUUGUCCCCAGAGAAAUUUUCUCCUAAGCGCUGAACGUGUCGAAGAAGCGUGUUAAAUUGUCGUGACGCUAUUUUGUGCGGGCGCAUUUUUGAUGACGACAUUCGUGGCGUGGGCGGUUCGAACUUAUUCAGAUCGGGAAAAAACUUAUUACAGAGCUGUCAGUAUCUUCAACUUAACGGCGGAUCAAGAAACUGAUCAAGUUUUACUAAAGUUCGGGAGUGACGCCGAGUUCUGGGUUCUACUGGCGGGGUUCUCGCUAAUUUAUGCGGGAUGUUUUGCCCUGGCGAAUUUAAGCAAUUUGCGGAAAUCCAGGCUUACUUGGACCUUGGCGGCGGGGGCUUUUAUCAUCCCGCUCAUUCCCCUAUUGUUUACGUUGGGAGUGAUGGCGGGGAUUUAUAUUUGUGUAAUUAAAACGAUGUGUGUCACCUUGACAACCCUUCCCCAGUGCCAAGCAGACCUACUCCUGACAUUCCACUGUAUCGUUGGAGGGAUGGAAUCUGGCGAUUACAACAUCCACCACUCGGAUAUUGAGAAAUUCCAGGGGAAAUAAAUCGAAAUUUGUGUAGGGAAGUUCUGUAAAGAAGACACUUUUCACUUCUGCUAAUUACAUAUUUAUAUCUGUUAAAUAAUUGGUAUCGUUCUACACUUAAAAAUAAAGCUCUAUAUUGUGUUAUGUUAUCUACGUUUGCAAAAGUAUUUAAGUAAAACAGAGUAGAAUAGGUGGUUAAUUGAUAUUAUAUUGAAUA